Molecule: ribosomal RNA, 835 nt
Filed under: Verrucaria sp. 18 SPS-2021
Lineage: Eukaryota; Fungi; Ascomycota; Eurotiomycetes; Verrucariales; Verrucariaceae
Description: SSU rRNA
Rfam family: Bacterial small subunit ribosomal RNA
Source: RNAcentral
UAGCAGUGAGGAAUAUUGGUCAAUAGCCAGACGGCUGAACCAGCAUCUGGAAGAAUGAAUAACGAAUAAGUCGUAUAAAGUUCUAGAUAGAAAACAGAUAAUGACAACUAUCUAUCUAUUAGUCUUGACCAAAUUACGUGCCAGCAGUCGCGGCAACACGCAGAAGACAAGUGUUAUUCAUCGUUAUUCGGUUUAAAGGGUACCUAGACGGGAAAUCAAGCCAUAGUAGGGACUAAUUUUCUAGAGUUUUAUGGGAGAAAGUCGAAUAUCUAGAGUAGAGAUACAAUAUGUUAAUACUGGGUAGACGGUUAACGGCGUAGGCAACUUUCUAUGUAAAAACUGACGUUGAGGGACGAAGCCCUGGGUAACGAGAAGGAUUAGAUACCCCAGUAGUCCAGGGAGACAAUGAUGAGUGCCAUAGGCUAGAAAUAUUAGUCUAUAAAUGAAAGUGUAAGCAUUCCACCUCAAGACUAAAGCGGCAACGCCCAAAUUGAAAUCAUUAGACCGUUCCUGAAACCAGUAGUGAAGUAUGUUAUUUAAUUCGAUGAUCCGCGAAUAACCUUACCACGUUUUGAAUACUACUGGUGCACGACCAAUUUAAUUUUAAUUAAAUUUAAUAGUAGUACAAGCGCUGCACGGCUGUCUUUAGUUGAUGUCGUGAGAUUUUGGUUAACUCCUCUAAUUAACGAAAACCCUUGUUUUAUAUGUAUAUAUAAAACAGUUCUCCACUAUAUUGGAUAAGAUAAUAGGGAUUAAGGCAAGUCAUCAUGGCCUUAAUAACGUGGGCUAUAGACGUGCCACAUAUGCCUGUACAAAGGGAUGCUGAUAUUGGAAA